This is a long non-coding RNA of Daphnia magna, 3569 nucleotides long. RefSeq lists it as uncharacterized. Lineage: Eukaryota; Metazoa; Arthropoda; Branchiopoda; Diplostraca; Daphniidae. The transcript has 13 exons. The record is from RefSeq and is a predicted model, not a curated record.
GUUCGUCUGCUGACCACAGCUGGCCAGGCUUGUUUCCAUAUUUGUUGUGGUUAUAAUCGGGAAAUUUGCCCGUAGGAACAUCGUUCAUGCAAGUUUCUCUAUGAGGACAUACGUAAUGGCAGCCAAAGUUUUAGCGCUGCAAGUUGACCAUGUGGUUUCACCUACGACGCCACGAGAGGGACUCAUGAUAAAACCUAUUGGGAGAUACGUUACCAUCCCUGGCGCAUACGUUUCCAGAACUAUCAUGGGACAUCCCCAAACUAUAGAUCUCUACUCACUUGUGGCCAAUUUCAUGAGCCAUUACGUAGACUGAGUUAAAACCAGUGGAAGGAUAUGUUUGACCUUGUUGGUUUGUUACACCAAGCUCUCCAAUAACACAGUUGUAAAUACCAGUGCAAACACCAGUGACAGUGGAUAGACCUUUUGUUAUUGUGAAUAUGGUCUACAAUUAUCUUCUUUAAGGCAAAAAAAUCCAGCCCAGACAGUAAAAGUGCCAUAUCCCAAUGCUCUGCAUCAUUGUCUGAAGGCUUGUUCAGUUUUGUUUGAAAAGCACAGAAUGAAUCAAGCAUUUUGCCACGUUCACCGCCAGUGUGUAGCGUGGCUGGUGGCUUUGCAUGGAAUUCCAUGUAAACUAUCGACAAGUCGACUCGCUGACCCAGACUAGGAAGAAAUUUUCUUACCGCAUUGACAAAGGCAAGAACCAACUCACGAAGCUUAACAUACUCUUGUGUCCCAAAAUAUGGCAUAAACAAAGCCAAAGCUGCUGAAUCCACAAAGAUUCCCAGUUCAAUCACUUUGUUGGGUGCAGAUUUUUCAGUAAUCGAUUUUUCCAGAGCAUUUUUUCGUGUGUGUUGAUUUUGUUUCCCGGAUCGGUUAUGGUCAAUUUUAUCUGCCUUUUACCACUGGUUCCCGAGUUACGUUCUUGGCCCUCAUCCGAAUUGUUUUGCGCGUUCACCUUCACAGCUUGCUUGAUGGGCUUGAAAAUGGGGUAGUGGAUCAAUUGGCCGAACGAUGUGAGCCCCAAUGAUAAUAGUUUCGUCCUCGUUAUCAGGAGGAAGGCUGAGCAUCUGACGAAAUCUCGAAGGUACUGGUCUGAUUUCCAAGGAUUUUCCUUCAUCGAUUAAUGACUGAGAGCGGCGACUACUUCACCAUCAGUGUGGAGAAAAUGACAUUCGGUGCCUCUGGGAUGUUCUUUCACAAUUUCCUCGCCCAGUAAUCCACCACUUCGUACGACCGUCUUCAUAUUUGGCGCCAUAAGAAACGUGUUAGGUCGCAUCUUUAGCAAAAUUUCCAUACUUUCCAUUGGCAGAGAAAGAAUAAUGAGCAUGGCUGUCUUGUGGACUGCUUCUCUUCGUGUUACGAUUAUCGCCGUUCGGGAAAGGACGUGUAGGGGCGGACACUCGGUGACGGCGAAUGUAGAUUACUUCAUAUUCGUCAACUUGCGAUGAAUUGACAACCCCAAAUAUUCGACCCAACUCGUCCACAGUCAUCAACGUGUGCAACUUGCGAAAUAACUAGAAAGUUAAUACUAGGACCAUAUCACUCCAAAAACACAACUGGCUUGUGAUGUGAUAUCAGCUCUCACUGUAGACAUGGAUCUCGGAAGUUCUUCAGACCUAUGUCAGCCAUAAAAGUGUGGAGAUACUGUGCUGGUUUUAGAAUAAUAUCAAAGACAACAAUGCAGCUUUGAAUCAGCAAGGUAACUAUUGUCAUUUGGUUAGACCAUUAAACCAUACUUUCAAAAUAAAGUUUCUCAUUUGGAAUUUGGGUUUCUAAAUGGAUUAGCGUCUAAAUAAUGUUACAUUUGUGCAUGUUAUGUUGAUAGGUGCACAAGCAAACAAGCCUUAGUUGCAUCACCAGCUUAAAUAUUCUACCUGUGUUAUUGCACUAGCUAUUAGUACAUUUCUUGUUGAACCUCUUUAACUGGAUCUAGCAGGAUUAGCUGAGAUGUGAUUUUGUGAUUUCACAUAUUUUUAAACCUUUUUGGCUCUUGGCGCUGCGUUCCUCUAGAAUUUAUCCUGUUGCGUUCAACAACAGUCGACUUACGGGACUAACGAUGAGAACAUUAGCAGCAGUGAAUUUGAUUGCAGUCUGGCGUUUGCUGCUGGUCAUUCACGAGUUCCCAGCCAAUUGUUGAGGACUUACGCCAAUUAAAUAUGGCCUCCGCAUCAAAUAUAAUCAAAUCCAUCAAUAGCUUUACUCCUAUGUAGGGGUACAGCUGAAAUGGAAGGGAUACCAACCAUUUUUAGCCUUCCGUUCUACCUUGAUCCAACCGUUCACUUGUCGCCAUCGUUACUCUGCCAUCGACGGCCUCGUCUUGGCUGCCAUUAAAACUUUUUUUUUUUUGUUUUGUUUUGACAAACGAGUAAUUGAUUACAAAGACAAUGAUGAUUUCGAAAAAUCAGCAACAACGAUAGCAGUAUGCGGUUCAACCAUACCAAAAACAGCCUAUUGUAAUCUAGCAUUCGCACCUUGAAACAGAAGCCAAUGAUCAACUCCACUCGCAAACCAGAGUGUGUCGAUUUCUUGCUUUAAUUUCAUUAGAAUGGGUCAUCCAAAUCAUACGGACGUGAUUCUGGCAAUGGCAGCUCCGAACAAAAUUAUUCUUCUCCACAUCAGCAACAACAGCAAACUAGUGGAAUUAUAUACUGACCACGUGGAAACAACUACGCCCAUCUAGAUUCCUAACCGAUCAAACUAACUCGCUCCGUUUGGCCGAUAAUCACAAACAACAAUUAGAGGCUCCAACAAGGACAGCUACAUGAAAAUUGACCUGAGACAAGCUGGAGGUGCCCGAAAAAUGUGGAAUGAUGAAACGGAAGAAGGUGAAAGCGGAAUACUUUCUGAUCCUGUUUAUGAGGAGAUUGAACGUAGCGCAAGAUGUAGCGGUGGCAAUCUCUGUCCAUGCAAUAACAAAUACCAAAGUCAGUUGCAACGAGAACGGACGGUCUUGCACUACCAGCAGCCGUUGGAUCUAUGCAUCUUGUGGCCAGUGAACUGUUCUGGAACAGCAACGGAUUCCUGUCGUCCAACAGAAGCUCACCCUCUCAUCUACCGAGUGCUGAUCAAGUUUGAAAAACGAAAAAAGUUGAAAAGAAAAGAAAUUAAUGAUCAGAAUUGAAGAGGACGCUUGCAAUGUCAAGAGAAGAAUCACAUAGAAAAGAAAAUUUCGUAUCAUGUGAUGUAAACUUUGCGCAUGUGGAUAAUCAGAGAUAAAGAGGAGAAUUUCUCUUUUUUUUUUUCAUUUUCUAUACGAAAAUAGGAAAGAAACAAAGAAAGGGAAAAUAGAUUUACAUUUUAAAAAGCGUGUUAUUGCCGUUGUCUCUUACAAUUUACCUGAAUAUCAUGAGUGGUUUGACGUGGUUUUAGUCAAUGAUACGUCUAUAUAAUGAUAUAUUUAAUUAUAUUAUGUAUGUACACACAAAAAAGCUCAGAAUAUCAACCCUACAAUCCUCUCCCCUCCAACUGACUUGAUUAUUUCGCGUUAUAGUUAUGUGUCUCCCGUCUAAUCCAACUGUGUCGAUGAAGAAACUUGUGUUUAACAAAUACACAACUUGGUCUGAACUGCA